RNAcentral lists this ribosomal RNA (494 nucleotides) under uncultured bacterium. RNAcentral describes it as "partial 16S ribosomal RNA". It matches the Rfam family "Bacterial small subunit ribosomal RNA", at positions 28 to 507 of the family's 1533-position model. The record is from RNAcentral.
GACGAACGCUGGCGGCGUGCUUAACACAUGCAAGUCGAACGGAAAGGCCUGUCCUUCCUUGUGUUGGACGGGUACUCGAGUGGCGAACGGGUGAGUAACACGUGAGUGAUCUGCCCCCAACUUGGGUAUAAGCCUGGGAAACUGGGUCUAAUUCCCGAUAGGACUGCAGGGUGGUGCCUGUGGUGGAACACGAUUUUCUAGUGGUUGGGGAUGAGCUCGCGGCCUAUCAGCUUGUUGGUGGGGUAAUGGCCUACCAAGGCGGCGACGGGUAGCCGGCCUGAGAGGGUGGACGGCCACAUUGGGACUGAGAUACGGCCCAGACUCCUACGGGAGGCAGCAGUGGGGAAUAUUACACAAUGGGCGGAAGCCUGAUGCAGCGACGGCGCGUGGGGGAUGACGGCCUUCGGGUUGUAAACUCCUUGCGACCGCGAGGAAGCCGCCUGGUUGGAAGGGUGGUGACGGUAGUGGUAGAAGAAGCACCGGCUAACUACGUG